Molecule: long non-coding RNA, 729 nt
Organism: Jaculus jaculus (lesser Egyptian jerboa)
Lineage: Eukaryota; Metazoa; Chordata; Mammalia; Rodentia; Dipodidae
Exons: 3
Source: RefSeq, a predicted model, not a curated record
CACUGCCCUGCCAGGCCGCCGCCCUCGACGGAGGCCACCCAGGCUCCUCGCCGCACGCCUGUAGUCCCAGCGCUCGGCAGGCGGAGGUAGGACGAUCGCCGCGAGUUCGAGGCCACCCUGAGACUACGUAGGGAAUUCGAGGGUCGGAUCUCAUGUUGCCCAGGCUGGCCUCCAAUUCCCGGUCUGAGAUUGGCCCUGGAACCCCCACCUGCCUCAGCCACCUGAGUGUGGGAAUUACAGGAAUCAGGGAAGAAGAGCAGGAUUCUGACACUCAGUAAACUCUGUCCUGAACAUUUUUCAAACUUGAUUUGGAGCAAUCUAAUCAGAGAGGCUGUGGAAGUGAGAACGUUGUCAUCUGAGACCUGAUCAGCAGGGGGCACUGUUGCACCUCCCAGAGCCCCACUGAAGCCUAAAACCUCAUCCUGGACAAACCCAAGUGGUGUUGAGAGCACACCACAUUCCUGAGGCUAGUAGAUAAUCUCCACUUGGUCCAGGGGAACAGAUGGACUGGCUCCCGAUGGCCUUCAGAAGCAUGAUGGAUGGGCAGCAAAGGAACCUACCGGUGCUAUUGUUUUCCUGGUGACAAAGAAUACAGCAUGUCAACAGGUGUCUCUCCAUCCCUGACCUCAGCUCUCCCAACACACACGUCCUAAAAAGGAUGCUGUGACUCUGUCCUAACCACUGCAUUCCUCAUUCCUUUUCUUUCUCCAUAAACAGCUUCUGACUUCA